AGUUGCAGUGAGAUGUGAGGCACUUGCAGAGACUCAGUCCACCACCCUGGGCAGCUUUCACCACCCUGGGCAGCUUUUCCGAGACGUAGGGACUGGCUUGCCGUAAUUCAUAGCUUCUGCUGUCCCUUGCUACAUACCUGAGAAAUUCAAGCCAGCUGCAGAAAUUUGCUUGAGUAGCAAGGAGCCCAAUGUUAAUCCUCAAGACCAUAGGGAAAAUGUCUCCAGGCCAUGUCAGAGACCUUCAUGGCAGCCCCUCCCACCAUAGGCCCAGAGGCCCAGGAGGAAAAAGUGGUUUCAUGGGCCAGGUCCAGGGUCCUUGUGCUGUGUGCAGCCUUAGGACUUGGUGCCCUGUGUCCCAGCCAUUCCAGCCGUGGCUGAAGGGGCCAAUGUAGAGCUCAGGCCAUGGCUUCAGAGGGUGGAAGCCCCAAACCUUGACAGCUUCCACGUGGUGUUGAGCCUUAGGUUGCACAGAAGUCAAGAAUUGAGGUUUGGGAAACUCCAACUGGAUUUCAGAAAAUGUAUGGAUGCCCAGGCAAAAGUUUGCUGCAGGGGCAGGGCCCUCAUGGAGAACCUUUGCUAGAGCAAACUGGAAGGAAGGAAAAUGUGGGUUUGGAGCCCCCACACAGAGUUCCUAGUGGGCACUGCCUAGUGCAGCUAUGAGAAGAGGGCCACCAUCUUUCAGACCCCAGAAUGGUAGAUCCACUGACAGCUUGCACUGUGUUGCUGGAAAAGCUGCAGACACUCAAUGCCAGCCUGUGAAAGCAGCUGGGUGAGGGCUGAAUCCUACAAAGCCAUAGGGGCAGAGCUGCCCAAGACCAUGGGAACCCAUCUCUUGCAUCAGUGUGAUGUGGCUGUGAGACCUGGAGUCAAAGGAGAUCAUUUUGGAGCUUUAAAAUUUGACUGCCUCACUGAACUUCAGACUUGCAUGGGCCCUAUAACCCCUUUGUUUUGGCCUAUCUCUCUUUCGGAAUGGCUGUAUUUACCCAAUACCUGUACUUCCAUUGUAUCUAGGAAGUAACUAGCUUUCUUUUGAUUUUACAGGCUCAUAGGUAGAAGGGACUUGCCUUGUCUCAGAUGAGACUUUUGACUGGAUUUUUGGGUUAAUGCUGAAAUGAGUUAAGAUUUUGGGGGACUGUUGGGAAGGCAUGAUUAGUUUUGAAAAGUGAGGACACGAGAUUUGGAGGGGCCAGGGGCAGAAUGAUGUGGUUUGGCUGUGUCCCCACCCAAAUCUCAACUUGAAUUUUAUCUCCCAGAAUUCCCACAUGUUGUGGGAGGGGUCCAGGGGGAGGUAAUUGAAUCAUGGGGGCCAGGCCUUCCCAUGCUAUUCUUGUGAUAGUGAAUAAGUCUCACGAGAUCUAAUGGGUUUAUCAGGGGUUUCCGCUUUUGCUUCUUCCUCAUUUUUCUCUUGCCACCACCAUAUAAAAAGUGCCUUUCACCUCCUGCCAUGAUUCUGACACCUCCCCAGCCAUGUGGAACUGUAAGUGCAAUUAAACCUCUUU
Long non-coding RNA from Homo sapiens (human), 1499 nucleotides. Ensembl annotates it as long intergenic non-protein coding RNA 2388. Lineage: Eukaryota; Metazoa; Chordata; Mammalia; Primates; Hominidae. The record is from Ensembl.